RNAcentral lists this long non-coding RNA (971 nucleotides) under Nicotiana benthamiana. Its description in RNAcentral is "long non-coding RNA (NBEN_LNC022456)". Lineage: Eukaryota; Viridiplantae; Streptophyta; Magnoliopsida; Solanales; Solanaceae. The record is from RNAcentral.
AUGUAUGGUUUUUGUCAUUCUGUAAAUGAUUAAAUAUUACUCUUAGUAUAUGGUUAUCUUUCAAAAUUUUUAAAAAUUUUGAUGGAUUAACCUGUAAAUUUUUAGGAAACGACUGGUUAAGAUAAAUCAAGUGGUAUGUGUGCUUAACCAUGGCCGGGGUGAGGUUAAAGAAGAAAGAGUUAAGAAUGGAUUUAAAUCUAUCAAGAAUUGGAGAGAAGAGAUAAACAGAGUAAAAAAAAGUAUAAAAGGGGUAAUCUUAGUACAUAAUUAUGAUUACACUGUAACGUUAUAAGUUUAUAGAUAAGAGAGGGAGAGUACCGAGUAGGAUUUUUACAACGUAAAGUUUAAAACAAUUCUACUAUACCGUUAAUGUCUGGUAAUCGAAAUAAUUAUACAUAUCAAGAAAGCUUUGCUAGAAGCCUUACUUUAAGUCUAGGAGAGUUUAUUUUAGACAUAGACACAUGAUUUUGUUCGAUAGUAGACUACGCUAUACACUUUAUGGGUAAUCUUAGUACAUAAUUAUGAUUGCACUGUAACGUUAUAAGAAAAGAGAGGGAGAGUAUCAGGUAGAAUUUUUACAACAUAAAGUUUAAAUCAUCUUUUACUACGUUGUUAAUGUCUGGUAAUCGUAAUAACUAUACCUAUCCAGAAAGCUUUGCUAUAAGUCUUACUUCAAGUUUAGGAGAGUUUAUUUUAGACGUGGACACAUGAUUCUAUUCGAUAGUAGACUACGCUAUACACUUUAUUUAUAUUAUAGAAUUUGCAUAAAUUUAUUUAUUAAGCAGUUAUUUCUUAUAAUUAGUAUUCUAGAAAUUCACUUAUCUAGUUUUUCUAGAUAUUACUAGUUAAACUUAGAAAGAAGACAAUAAGUAGAAGAUAUAUAUAUGGCAGAAGAAGUUGAGCCCAAUAAGAUCUUUAUCUUCUCUCUUUUUUUUUGGGAGCAACACAGCUAUAUUAAAUUUAAUAUAUAU